UGCAAGUCGAACGGAAAGGCCCUGCUUUUGUGGGGUGCUCGAGUGGCGAACGGGUGAGUAACACGUGAGUAACCUGCCCUUGACUUUGGGAUAACUUCAGGAAACUGGGGCCAAUACCGGAUAGGAGCUCCUGCUGCAUGGUGGGGGUUGGAAAGUUUCGGCGGUUGGGGAUGGACUCGCGGCUUAUCAGCUUGUUGGUGGGGUAGUGGCUUACCAAGGCUUUGACGGGUAGCCGGCCUGAGAGGGUGACCGGCCACAUUGGGACUGAGAUACGGCCCAGACUCCUACGGGAGGCAGCAGUGGGGAAUAUUGCACAAUGGGCGGAAGCCUGAUGCAGCAACGCCGCGUGCGGGAUGACGGCCUUCGGGUUGUAAACCGCUUUCGCCUGUGACGAAGCGUGAGUGACGGUAAUGGGUAAAGAAGCACCGGCUAACUACGUGCCAGCAGCCGCGGUGAUACGUAGGGUGCGAGCGUUGUCCGGAUUUAUUGGGCGUAAAGGGCUCGUAGGUGGUUGAUCGCGUCGGAAGUGUAAUCUUGGGGCUUAACCCUGAGCGUGCUUUCGAUACGGGUUGACUUGAGGAAGGUAGGGGAGAAUGGAAUUCCUGGUGGAGCGGUGGAAUGCGCAGAUAUCAGGAGGAACACCAGUGGCGAAGGCGGUUCUCUGGGCCUUUCCUGACGCUGAGGAGCGAAAGCGUGGGGAGCGAACAGGCUUAGAUACCCUGGUAGUCCACGCUGUAAACGGUGGGUACUAGGUGUGGGGUCCAUUCCACGGGUUCCGUGCCGUAGCUAACGCUUUAAGUACCCCGCCUGGGGAGUACGGCCGCAAGGCUAAGACUCAAAGGAAUUGACGGGGCCCCGCACAAGCGGCGGAGCAUGCGGAUUAAUUCGAUGCA
Molecule: ribosomal RNA, 893 nt
Filed under: uncultured Actinomycetes bacterium
Lineage: Bacteria; Bacillati; Actinomycetota; Actinomycetes
Description: bacterial SSU rRNA
Rfam family: Bacterial small subunit ribosomal RNA
Source: RNAcentral